CUGGACAAUUCCACAUUGUUCUCAUCCUGCCAUGGGCAUCCGAGCCCUGUGCUGUGUGGCCCUUUGUCUCCUGCGAGUAGAGCCCACAGAUGCUGGAGUCACCCAGACACCCAGGCAUGAGGUGACAGAAGUGGGACACGCAGUAACUCUGAGUUGUGAGCCGAUUUCAGACCACACUGUGCUUUAUUGGUACAGACAGACCUUGGUGCAGGGAUUGGAGUUUCUGAUUUACUUCCUCAACCAAGCUCCUAUGGACGAGUCAGGGAUGCCCAAGGACCGAUUCUCAGCUAAGAUGCCGAAUGCAUCAUUCUCCACUCUGAAGAUCCAGCCCACAGAACCUGGGGACUCGGCCACGUACCUCUGUGCCAGCAGCAACAUCACAGGCAGAUAUGCCUAUGAGGGACCAGGGACUCUCCGAACUCCCACC
Molecule: non-coding RNA, 427 nt
Organism: Balaenoptera acutorostrata (minke whale)
Lineage: Eukaryota; Metazoa; Chordata; Mammalia; Artiodactyla; Balaenopteridae
Source: the annotation of a RefSeq genome assembly